Molecule: unclassified non-coding RNA, 203 nt
Filed under: Hevea brasiliensis (rubber tree)
Lineage: Eukaryota; Viridiplantae; Streptophyta; Magnoliopsida; Malpighiales; Euphorbiaceae
Source: RNAcentral
CUUCGGUUUAAGAGAACCACUCUGAGAUCGUGUAACAAUGUGGUGAGUUCUAACUUCUAACAAUUUGUAAUGGAGAUGCUGGCCAAGAUGGACUAUCAGGUUGUGAUGGCUGAAAAGGAGCAGGAGAGAUAGAAUCAAGCACUAAGGAUAAGCCUUGGUUAUUAGUUGAUGGUGUUAUCGAUGUACGACUCCUAGAGAAAAGG